AUUGAACGCUGGCGGCGUGCUUAACACAUGCAAGUCGAGCGGUAACAGGUGUAGCAAUACAUGCUGACGAGCGGCGAACGGGUGAGUAAUGCUUCGGAAUCUGCCCAGUAGUGGGGAAUAACCAGUCGAAAGAUUGGCUAAUACCGCAUACGACCUUUGGGUGAAAGCAGGGGAUCGCAAGACCUUGCGCUAUUGGAUGAGCCGAAGUCGGAUUAGCUAGUUGGUAGGGUAACGGCCUACCAAGGCGACGAUCCGUAGCUGGUCUGAGAGGAUGAUCCGCCACACUGGAACUGAGACACGGUCCAGACUCCUACGGGAGGCAGCAGUGGGGAAUUUUGGACAAUGGGCGCAAGCCUGAUCCAGCCAUGCCGCGUGAGUGAAGAAGGCCUCGGUUGUAAGACUCUUUCGGUCCGGGAACGGAAAGUACGCAU
This 431-nucleotide ribosomal RNA is filed under the name uncultured bacterium. Its description in RNAcentral is "bacterial SSU rRNA". It matches the Rfam family "Bacterial small subunit ribosomal RNA", at positions 30 to 460 of the family's 1533-position model. The record is from RNAcentral.